Molecule: transfer RNA, 66 nt
Filed under: Clostridium massiliodielmoense
Lineage: Bacteria; Bacillati; Bacillota; Clostridia; Eubacteriales; Clostridiaceae
Rfam family: tRNA
About the family: Transfer RNA (tRNA) molecules are approximately 80 nucleotides in length. Their secondary structure includes four short double-helical elements and three loops (D, anti-codon, and T loops). Further hydrogen bonds mediate the characteristic L-shaped molecular structure. tRNAs have two regions of fundamental functional importance: the anti-codon, which is responsible for specific mRNA codon recognition, and the 3' end, to which the tRNAs corresponding amino acid is attached (by aminoacyl-tRNA synthetases). tRNAs cope with the degeneracy of the genetic code in two manners: having more than one tRNA (with a specific anti-codon) for a particular amino acid; and 'wobble' base-pairing, i.e. permitting non-standard base-pairing at the 3rd anti-codon position.
Source: RNAcentral
GGCAUGGCUCAACUGGUAGAGCAACUGACUUGUAAUCAGUAGGUUCCGGGUUCAAGUCCUGGUGCC